UACCAGCUCUCCGAGUGGUGUGGAUGUUUAUUGGGCCUAAAGCAUCCGUAGCUGGCUGGACAAGUCCCCUGUUAAAUCCACCGAUUUAAUCGUUGGAGUGCGGGGGAUACUGUUUGGCUAGGGGACGGGAGAGGCCGACGGUAUUUCCGGGGUAGGGGUGAAAUCCUAUAAUCCCGGGAAGACCACCAGUGGCGAAGGCUGUCGGCUAGAACGCGCCCGACGGUGAGGGAUGAAAGCUGGGGGAGCGAACCGGAUUAGAUACCCGGGUAGUCCCAGCUGUAAACGAUGCAGGCUAGGUGUUUGGGCGGCCACGAGCCGCUCUAGUGCCGCAGGGAAGCUGUUAAGCCUGCCGCCUGGGGAGUACGGCCGCAAGGCUGAAACUUAAAGGAAUUGGCGGGGGAGCACCACAAGGCGUGAAGCUUGCGGUUC
RNAcentral lists this ribosomal RNA (429 nucleotides) under uncultured archaeon. Its description in RNAcentral is "bacterial SSU rRNA". It matches the Rfam family "Archaeal small subunit ribosomal RNA", at positions 474 to 903 of the family's 1478-position model. The record is from RNAcentral.